This 531-nucleotide ribosomal RNA is filed under the name uncultured Bacteroidota bacterium. RNAcentral describes it as "bacterial SSU rRNA". It matches the Rfam family "Bacterial small subunit ribosomal RNA", at positions 343 to 867 of the family's 1533-position model. Lineage: Bacteria; Pseudomonadati; Bacteroidota. The record is from RNAcentral.
GGGAGGCAGCAGUGAGGAAUAUUGGACAAUGGGAGCAAUCCUGAUCCAGCCAUGCCGCGUGCAGGAAGACAGUCCUAUGGAUUGUAAACUGCUUUUAUACAGGAAGAAAAAGUCCGACUUGUCGGAUAUUGACGGUACUGUACGAAUAAGAAUCGGCUAACUCCGUGCCAGCAGCCGCGGUAAUACGGAGGAUUCAAGCGUUAUCCGGAAUCAUUGGGUUUAAAGGGUUCGUAGGCGGGAUAAUAAGUCAGUGGUGAAAGUUUGUGGCUCAACCAUAAAAUUGCCAUUGAUACUGUUGUUCUUGAGUUAUUGUGAAGUGGUUAGAAUGUGUAGUGUAGCGGUGAAAUGCAUAGAUAUUACACAGAACACCAAUUGCGAAGGCAUAUCACUAACAAUAUACUGACGCUGAUGAACGAAAGCGUAGGUAGCCAACAGGAUUAGAUACCCUGGUAGUCUACGCUGUAAACGAUGGUUACUAGCUGUUCGUCACGCGCUUAGGCGAGAUGAGUGGUAAGCGAAAGUGAUAAGUAA